Panicum virgatum (switchgrass) is the source of this 1422-nucleotide long non-coding RNA. RefSeq lists it as uncharacterized. NCBI's taxonomy places the organism in Eukaryota, Viridiplantae, Streptophyta, Magnoliopsida, Poales, Poaceae. The transcript is spliced from 3 exons. The record is from RefSeq and is a predicted model, not a curated record.
CUCCCGCGCGCGCCGAGGCUGCGGGCCGUGCGGAUUCCGGUGUUUUCCGCCCGGUUUCCGGAGAUUUUCGAGCGAGAAACCGAGUUUCCCGAGUGGAAGCCGCUGCGGGCCGACCGGAUCCGUGGGUUUGGUGAGUUGAUUUUGUGUUUAGAUGAUUGUUCUUGUGGAUCCAAGUAGUUAAUGACCUGUAGUGUUUAUUUGAUAUGUACUCAGUUCAUAUUUGUUCAUAGUUUAUGAGAUAUAUUAUUUUUCCCAUGUAUUUGGUAUGAGUGCAAACAUGCAUAGGUAAAUCUCAUGUGCCGAAUGCUUCUGACAAUACCAACUGUGAGCAUUGAAUUGUUUUGCACCGUUGCAGGUAAAUGGUUGACCCUGUUUGGGAGCAUGGAGAAAAAAGGGGAUCGGGUUUCAAGUGCAAGUAUUGUGGCACAUCAAAGAGCGGAGGAGGGGCAACACGGUUCAAGGACCACUUGGCACAUAGAGGUCAUGAUGUUAUUGAUUGCCCUUCGGUUCCCCCCGCGGUGAAGAACUUUUUCAUUAGCGAGUUGGACAAGAUAAAGGCGAAGAAGUAUGAAAGACAGCAAGAUAGACGUAGGAGAGAUGCUGCAGCUCGAAGUACUCAAUAUGUUGACUUGGAAGGUGAGGAAGAAGAAGAAGAGCAGGAUGAUGAGUUGCAGCAAGCUUUGAGACAUUCACGGGAAGAGUAUGAGUUUAGGCAAAGGGCUGGUCCAAGGUAUGAGAGGGGUGGUGGUUCUGGAUCAGGCUAGGCACGGGAUCCAGGUGGUGGCUCUAGACCAAUUGGGAGGAUGUUUUCUAGGAGUCGGUCACAUAUCCCCGAGCGGGCAAGGGACUAUAACCUUGCUACUGCUUCCGGACCGAGGCAGCAGAGGAUUGAUACGGGGCCUUGGACGUCUAAGGGGAGGACUGCGAGAGAGUUGCUGGGUAGGGCGUGGUCAAAGGCUUGCCACUCCGUUGGUAUUCCUGGACGGAAGGUAGAUGACCCUUACUUUAGGGCGGCCAUCAUAGAGACACAGAAACAAGUUCCACCUACAGCUACCCGUCGGCACCCUCCUUUGUGUGGCCACCACAACCACAUCCGAUGGCAGUCCCUCCGCGUCCUCUAUAUGGAUAUCCCCAUAUGUACUAUCAAGGAUACCUCCCAUAUGGAAAUCCUCACAUGUACUAUCAGGAAUAUCCCCCAGAGCAAGAUUCCUCCGAAUGAGUACCUAAGUAUGUAGGAUUCGACGUUACAAUGGGAGUCAUCAACAAUUUCCGGUCGGUCGUAAGGUUUUCCUAUGGGAAAACACCGAAAUAAAAAUUUUAGAGUAUAUUUUGUGUUAACUAUUUGAGACUUGUAUUAUUUGAACCUAUAUUUUAUUUGAACCUAUAAAUUGUGUUAACAAGUUGAACCUAUAUUUUAUUGCA